This 230-nucleotide long non-coding RNA is filed under the name Theobroma cacao (cacao). Its description in RNAcentral is "long non-coding RNA (TCAC_LNC000588)". Lineage: Eukaryota; Viridiplantae; Streptophyta; Magnoliopsida; Malvales; Malvaceae. The record is from RNAcentral.
AUCACUUCACGGUCGGAUCUAGCCAUAGAAUGCCAGAUCCGACUAGAUCUCCCCAUGGGUGUCCCAAAUCAUGCCCCCCAGCACCGAUUUGGUGCUCCCCAAAUUGGGGGAGCACAAGAUUCUGCUCCUCAGAGGAGCAUUGAGAUGCACGCCUCCUGGCAGAAUUUGGGGCUCCUUGAACAGAUUUGACCGUGAGGUGGUUGGUCGGCGAGAGAUAGUAUAAUUUUUUU